This 458-nucleotide ribosomal RNA is filed under the name uncultured bacterium. RNAcentral describes it as "partial 16S ribosomal RNA". It matches the Rfam family "Bacterial small subunit ribosomal RNA", at positions 338 to 795 of the family's 1533-position model. The record is from RNAcentral.
CCUACGGGAGGCAGCAGUGGGGAAUAUUGCACAAUGGGGGAAACCCUGAUGCAGCGACGCCGCGUGAGUGAAGAAGUAAUUCGUUACGUAAAGCUCUAUCAGCAGGGAAGAAACACUGACCUUACGGUCAGCAGACGGUACCUGAGUAAGAAGCCCCGGCUAACUACGUGCCAGCAGCCGCGGUAAUACGUAGGGGGCAAGCGUUAUCCGGAUUUACUGGGUGUAAAGGGAGCGUAGACGGCGGAACAAGUCAGAAGUGAAAACCCGGGGCUCAACCCUGGGAGUGCUUUUGAAACUGUUUGGCUGGAGUGCAGGAGAGGUAAGCGGAAUGCCUAGGGUAGCGGUGAAAUGCGUAGAUAUUAGGAGGAACACCAGUGGCGAAGGCGGCUUACUGGACUGUAACUGACGUUGAGGCUCGAAAGCGUGGGGAGCAAACAGGAUUAGAUACCCCGGUAGUC